CAGUCGCCGCGGGAAUACGAAGGGUGCAAGCGUUACUCGGAAUUACUGGGCGUAAAGCGUGCGUAGGUGGUGGUUUAAGUCCGUUGUGAAAGCCCUGGGCUCAACCUGGGAAUUGCAGUGGAUACUGGGCAACUAGAGUAAGGUAGAGGAUAGUGGAAUUUCCGGUGUAGCAGUGAAAUGCGUAGAGAUCGGAAGGAACAUCUGUGGCGAAGGCGACUAUCUGGGCCAUUACUGACACUGAGGCACGAAAGCGUGGGGAGCAAACAGGAUUAGAUACCCCCGUAGUCCCUGUCUCUUAUAC
This 301-nucleotide ribosomal RNA is filed under the name uncultured bacterium. RNAcentral describes it as "partial 16S ribosomal RNA". It matches the Rfam family "Bacterial small subunit ribosomal RNA", at positions 509 to 807 of the family's 1533-position model. The record is from RNAcentral.